GAUUGAACGCUGGCGGCAGGCCUAACACAUGCAAGUCGAGCGGUAGCACAGAGAGCUUGCUCUCGGGUGACGAGCGGCGGACGGGUGAGUAAUGUCUGGGAAACUGCCUGAUGGAGGGGGAUAACUACUGGAAACGGUAGCUAAUACCGCAUAACGUCGCAAGACCAAAGUGGGGGACCUUCGGGCCUCAUGCCAUCAGAUGUGCCCAGAUGGGAUUAGCUAGUAGGUGGGGUAACGGCUCACCUAGGCGACGAUCCCUAGCUGGUCUGAGAGGAUGACCAGCCACACUGGAACUGAGACACGGUCCAGACUCCUACGGGAGGCAGCAGUGGGGAAUAUUGCACAAUGGGCGCAAGCCUGAUGCAGCCAUGCCGCGUGUGUGAAGAAGGCCUUCGGGUUGUAAAGCACUUUCAGCGGGGAGGAAGGCGUUAAGGUUAAUAACCUUGGCGAUUGACGUUACCCGCAGAAGAAGCACCGGCUAACUCCGUGCCAGCAGCCGCGGUAAUACGGAGGGUGCAAGCGUUAAUCGGAAUUACUGGGCGUAAAGCGCACGCAGGCGGUCUGUCAAGUCGGAUGUGAAAUCCCCGGGCUCAACCUGGGAACUGCAUUCGAAACUGGCAGGCUAGAGUCUUGUAGAGGGGGGUAGAAUUCCAGGUGUAGCGGUGAAAUGCGUAGAGAUCUGGAGGAAUACCGGUGGCGAAGGCGGCCCCCUGGACAAAGACUGACGCUCAGGUGCGAAAGCGUGGGGAGCAAACAGGAUUAGAUACCCUGGUAGUCCACGCCGUAAACGAUGUCGAUUUGGAGGUUGUGCCCUUGAGGCGUGGCUUCCGGAGCUAACGCGUUAAAUCGACCGCCUGGGGAGUACGGCCGCAAGGUUAAAACUCAAAUGAAUUGACGGGGGCCCGCACAAGCGGUGGAGCAUGUGGUUUAAUUCGAUGCAACGCGAAGAACCUUACCUGGUCUUGACAUCCACAGAACUUUCCAGAGAUGGAUUGGUGCCUUCGGGAACUGUGAGACAGGUGCUGCAUGGCUGUCGUCAGCUCGUGUUGUGAAAUGUUGGGUUAAGUCCCGCAACGAGCGCAACCCUUAUCCUUUGUUGCCAGCGGUUCGGCCGGGAACUCAAAGGAGACUGCCAGUGAUAAACUGGAGGAAGGUGGGGAUGACGUCAAGUCAUCAUGGCCCUUACGACCAGGGCUACACACGUGCUACAAUGGCAUAUACAAAGAGAAGCGACCUCGCGAGAGCAAGCGGACCUCAUAAAGUAUGUCGUAGUCCGGAUUGGAGUCUGCAACUCGACUCCAUGAAGUCGGAAUCGCUAGUAAUCGUAGAUCAGAAUGCUACGGUGAAUACGUUCCCGGGCCUUGUACACACCGCCCGUCACACCAUGGGAGUGGGUUGCAAAAGAAGUAGGUAGCUUAACCUUCGGGAGGGCGCUUACCACUUUGUGAUUCAUGACUGGGGUGAAGUCGUACAAGGUAACC
Molecule: ribosomal RNA, 1481 nt
Filed under: uncultured bacterium
Lineage: Bacteria
Description: bacterial SSU rRNA
Rfam family: Bacterial small subunit ribosomal RNA
Source: RNAcentral